This is a long non-coding RNA of Mesocricetus auratus (golden hamster), 907 nucleotides long. RefSeq lists it as uncharacterized. NCBI's taxonomy places the organism in Eukaryota, Metazoa, Chordata, Mammalia, Rodentia, Cricetidae. The transcript is spliced from 3 exons. The record is from RefSeq and is a predicted model, not a curated record.
UGGGUGAGAUGGCCGUCUAGCACGGAGGCAAAUCCACCUCUCAGAAGCUGCUGGAAGGGCUACAAUCAGGACACCAGUGUAUACGACGUCCUUUCUCUGUUGACCUCUAGUUCCUCUCAAAGUGCAGCCCCAGGAUGUUCACCAGCUCUGUGACAUGAAGUAAGUCAAACUCCACGAGCAUCAGCUUAUUCGCGCCUUGAAUGACCCUAUGGCUGCAUACUUAGCCGAGUCGCAGGCACCUCUACGACGUCUGUUUUAAGGUUAUACACAUCUGCUACACCUUGUCAUUUAAGGCGUGGAGGUAAGCCUUUCUCCGUUGACUUGAACUCUUGCUGUGGCUCCAGAUUAUGUGAGUGGCAGAGAGCAUCUUUCUAAUGUGCACGGUAGGUCCCAGGCCUUUCUUUCCCAUCUCAUCUGAAAACAUCUGCCAGCCUUUUCCCAACUCACCUGCUUAGUGAAGAAAAAUAAUCCGCUGUAAUACACCCAUAAAUUUAAAUUCCAACUACGGGAUAAAAGCUAAUGCCCUGUGACAGGGUUUACUCCGCAUUUCCACAUCUACAUCGAGGCCCCUGGCACUCAAGCUUUACUGAAAGCUAAUUCUACGGGGCUGUGAGUCAACCAAGCUUCCUCCGAAAACAGGACUGUGCUAGGAAACUGCCCUCACAAAAGGGGCCUGUCUGCAGUGGAUGAAGAGAUGUGUUAUUACUAAGAUCAAACUGGUGGCCUCGAGGGCAGGGGACAAGAAGAGAGGAGAGGUGUGACCAUUCCAGUCCUUCUAGAAUGACCUGCUCACUUCUCUCUAGCAGAGAUCAUUCCCACCUGUGUGAGUUUCAGGGAAAGAGGAGGAAUCCCCUUGAGGUCAUACAAUCCCAACCGGGGUGGCUAGACUCCAGAUUGUACUAAAAUA